Molecule: transfer RNA, 50 nt
Filed under: Mesocricetus auratus (golden hamster)
Lineage: Eukaryota; Metazoa; Chordata; Mammalia; Rodentia; Cricetidae
Source: Rfam by way of RNAcentral
GGGGAUUUAGCUCAGUGGUAGAGCACUUGCCUAGCAAGAGCAAGUCCCUG